CGGGGGGGUCCCGCAAGGGCGAGGGCAUUUAUGAUUCCGAAGUCCCUGGAAGUCACACCAAGAAAAGCCGAUGCUGGACAAUGGCGUGCCCGUACUAAAACUGACACAGGUAGGCGAGAAGAAGAUUCUAAGGCGCUCGAGAAAACGCUGGUGAAGGAACUCGGCAAAUUGACCCCGUAACUUCGGGAUAAGGGGUGCCCUUUGUGGUGUUAAAGCCACGGGGGGCCGCAGUGAAAUGGGUCUAGCGACUGUUUACCAAAAACACAGGACGCUGCGAACUCGUAAGAGGAUGUAUAGCGUCUGACGCCUGCCCGGUGUCGGUAAGUUAAGGAAGAGGGUUAUCUCGCAAGAGAGAAGCUCGCAACCGAAGCUCCGAUAAACGGCGGCCGUAACUAUGACGGUCCUAAGGUAGCGAAAUUCCUUGUCGGGUAAGUUCCGACCUGCAUGAAUGGCGUAACGACUGGACCACUGUCUCCACCAGCGACUCGGUGAAACUGUAGUAGUCGUGAAGAUGCGACUUACCCGCAGCUAGACGGAAAGACCCCGUGAACCUUAACUGUAGGAUAGUAUUGGGCUUAGGCCCAGCAUGCGUAGUGUAGCUGGGAGGCUUUGAAGGGUGCGUCUCGGCGCAUCCGGAGCCGACAAUUGAAACACCAGCCUUGUUGUGCUUGAGUUCUAACCCCGUCCCGUAUAUCCGGGCGGAGGACAGUGCUAUCUGGGCAGUUUGACUGGGGCGGUCUCCUCCCAAAGAGUAACGGAGGAGCGCAAUGGUACCCUCAGCCCGGUUGGCAAUCGGGCAUCGAGCGUAAACGUAGAAGGGUGCUUGACUGCGAGUCCGAUAGGACGAGCAGGGACGAAAGUCGGCGUUAGUGAUCCGGCGGUGCCGGAUGGAAGGACCGUCGCUCAACAGAUAAAAGGUACUCCGGGGAUAACAGGCUUAUCUCCUCUGAGCGUUCAUAGCGGCGAGGAGGUUUGGCACCUGAUGUCGGCUCAUCGCAUCCUGGGGGUGGAGAAGCUCCCAAGGGUUUGGCUGUUCGCCAAUGAAAGCGGUACGUGAGCUGGGUUCAGACCGUCGUGAGACAGGUCGGUCCCUAUCUGCUGUGGGCGGAGGAAGUUUGAGGGGUUUUCUCCCUAGUACGAGAGGAUUGGGAGGGACGUACCUCUGGUGUUCCAGUUGUCGCGCUAGCGGCAGCGCUGGGUAGCUACGUACGGUCAGGAUAAACGCUGAAGGCAUCUAAGCGUGAAACCUUCCCCAAGAUCAGACUUCCAGCCCCUUGCGGGCGUAGGCUCCUUGUAGACCACAAGGUCGAUAGGCCGGGUGUGUAAGGCGGGCAACCGCUUAAGCUAACCGGUACUAACAGCCAAUUGCUUGACCGC
This 1377-nucleotide ribosomal RNA is filed under the name metagenome. RNAcentral describes it as "bacterial LSU rRNA". It matches the Rfam family "Bacterial large subunit ribosomal RNA", at positions 1551 to 2925 of the family's 2925-position model. The record is from RNAcentral.